GAUGAACGCUGGCGGCGUGCCUAAUACAUGCAAGUCGAGCGAACGGACGAGAAGCUUGCUUCUCUGAUGUUAGCGGCGGACGGGUGAGUAACACGUGGAUAACCUACCUAUAAGACUGGGAUAACUUCGGGAAACCGUAGCUAAUACCGGAUAAUAUUUUGAACCGCAUGGUUCAAAAGUGAAAGACGGUCUUGCUGUCACUUAUAGAUGGAUCCGCGCUGCAUUAGCUAGUUGGUAAGGUAACGGCUUACCAAGGCAACGAUGCAUAGCCGACCUGAGAGGGGGGUCGGCCACCCGGGGACUGGGACACGGGCCAGACCCCCACGGGAGGCAGAAGUAGGGAAUUUUCGGCAAUAGACGAAAGUCUGAACGGGCAACGCCGGGUGAGUGAAGAAGGUUUUCGGAUCGUAAAGAUCUUUUGUAAGGGAAGAACGAUUGGGAGAGGGGAAAGUUCACACUGUGACGGUAUCUUACCAGAAAGCCACGGCUAACUACGUG
This 498-nucleotide ribosomal RNA is filed under the name uncultured bacterium. RNAcentral describes it as "partial 16S ribosomal RNA". It matches the Rfam family "Bacterial small subunit ribosomal RNA", at positions 28 to 507 of the family's 1533-position model. The record is from RNAcentral.